AUUAAUAUCUUGACCCUUAAAAAAAGAAAGAUAGAACAGAAGAAUGAAGAUAACCACCUUUGGGAAUUUAUGGAGAACAAAUGCCCACAAAAAGAAGAUGGACUCUCAUUUCCCAAAUUUAUUUUAAUACAAAUGGGAUUAUUGUUACACAAACUCAACUUUUUUCCUAAGCUUUCGGUCUCUCACCAUUUUAUACAUAUUAAUAAAUAUAUACAUAAAACUCGGCAAACCAUCUAACUGAAACAAAAAGCACCUGCCUGGACGCUACUUCUCCUAAACUAGGAUGACUUUAUCUCCUAUGCUCUUCCUCUCAACAUGGCUGCAGUGAGAACCGAUUCUUACAAACGAGGCUUGUGAAUCAAAUAGGACUCUUUAAUAUACAUAGCUGGUCAGUCAAACAAGAACGAUCUGGCUUGCACCACUAGGAACAAUUUACAAGUUUGCAAGCUGCCAAUUAUGAGCUCUCUUGGAAUUUGAGUGACCGAGACAAUGCUGCAGGAUUGGCUUGUAAUACAGGGGAGGUUUCCGUUGUGUGAUUCUUUUCAUUGCUUUUUGAUUCAAAUGCCUUAAAUAGUCCUCGCCCACCAAUUGAAUCCGCCCUGUCAUUCUUAAUCCCAAGUGUGGUCCAUAUGGAACUUUUUGCAGCUUCUCCAGGGUCAUCAAUCCUCAAUGUUUUCGGAAUCCAAAGGCAUCUUUCAGCAUUACUUUCUUUAACUGGUUCUUCUCCAGAGUUGUUUGUUUUCUGCAUGUUCUCAUCCCUUGAAUGUUUUCCCAAGGUUGGAGAAUUAGGGCCAGAGCUGAGGGCAGUUUGGUUUGGACGAGAUGGAUGAGGAAUCCAAGGCAUGUUCCAAGUGCCUGGAACAGUGCAACCCCAAUAAGCUGCUGUAGGAUAGAAUGGCAUGGGAAAUCCUGGAGGGCAAAAGGCAGGGGGAGGUACUGGAGAGCUCCACUGAGCUGAAUUCCAGGGAUAAGGCCAGGGAGUGCCAGGAAAACAUGGUAUCUGAGGUGGAAAGCCCUGACAAUUUUUCAGCACUGACUCUUGUGACCCACUUUUGCUUGCCUCAUCCUUUGAAUUUGAUGCCAAGACUGAAGAUCUAUUAGAACAGUUCUCCCCAUUUCCCACACUUCCAUAAGAACCUGGAAUCCCUAAUGCUUCAGGUUUGUGAAACCCAUUUCUUGUGCAAUGCACUGUUUUAUCAGCAAGAUUCAACACAGAAGCUAUUGAUUCAUGAAGUGGAGUAUCUGCGCCAAAGGUGAGGACUGUCCCAUUAGUUUUCAACGCAGGAUGGUGCAUGCCAUUUGGAAUAUCAGUUCGAACAUUCUGAAGAGCUUCAGAGACAGUCAUGUGACGGUAAUGAGAAGCUGAGUUCUUGUUUUUACGACGACCAGCACCAACAGGCACAUUCCUCAUAGUCCCCCCAGCUGUCCAAUAUCUCUGGCAAUUUUUGCAGAAGUGCCGGGGUUGAUUCACAUUGUAAUUAUUGUAGUAACAGAACUUGGUGUCCAUGCUAUUACAGCGAGGGCAUGGAAGGAUUUUGUCAGGUUUUUUGGGACUCUUUUCUUGUGAAUUACUUGUAUCACUCUGCUCUUCCUCUGUCUUUGAAGUUUUUAAUGCAGCAUUCUCUUUCUCAGCAGAAGGAGUCUUAUGGUUCUCACUUAUCCCAGAGGUUGUAUCAGGAUUUGAUGACUCAUCGGAAGUAACAGUUUGGGCUUCAUUUUCCCAUUUGCUCUCCAUUGUUCUUUCUCCCACUGCAUCCUGAGUUGAUCAUAGUGACAAUUGGGAAGAAAACAAGUAAGAAUCAACCCUAACUCCAAGAAAAUAAGUGACAAUUACAUUUUGCAUGGAAUCUCAUUUUAACAUAUGUAACCAGACAUAUAAAAUGAACAGAAUUUUUCACUCUGGUGAAGAUAUGCUUGAAGUUAAAGCCAAAAUCCAAAUGCAACACAGAAAAACCAUAAAGCAUGCAUACUUUCUGUCCCCAUUAACUGCUAGAAGUAUGUGCCCUCUUCUUUAGUUUUCAAUCACCUAGAAGGAACAAAAUGGGACAGAUUUGGACACGUCAAGUUUGAAGCAUUUCCUUAUUUACAAUACAAAAGCCAGUAAACGAAAAGCAGAUGCAUUUUUAUGCAUUGGAUUUGCCAUGUGACAUACCAAGUUUUUUGCUUCUUACAACUUACUGUAGGACCAAAUGAAUCGCAAAAACAAGUUUUUUUAAACCUGGAGGAUGAAACAACAAUCAGUUGGGGGUCACUUUACAUGAGAAUUUAUGGAGCUAUAUUAAUUGAUCCAAAGAAUCUUUAGUAUUUGAGCUGCUAAUAGCUAGAAAGAAGACACAAUAAUAAAUAACCAUAUGCCCAUUGAGAAGAAUACAACUGACUAAAACCUUUAAGUAUGGGUGAAGAAUAUGCCAGAGUGAAACCAGAAACCCUAACUUCAACCUAUGCCAGAGUGAAACCAGAAACCCUAACUUCAACCUAUCAGCCUACACAAUCAAUAUGGUAAAAUAACAACCAGAAGGCCCCAUGACGCACAAUUUAAAAUAGCAGCAAAAUUUUGAAAAAGAAAAUAAGAAAGAGAAAUAUUGGGCUUUCCAAAAGGGCACUAAUGGAAGAAGGGAAGUAAAACCAUCUAAGAUGAAAGAUCCGAAUCCAGCUCGUAAAAACAUCACCUAAUAGAAUGGAGCCAGUCAAAUAUGAUCUUUGCAAUGAAUUACCUAGCUAGUUCCCCAAAAUAUAUAUAUUACACAUAACAUAACCCUGCAAUCUCCGAAAGAAAAUUAGCAUUUACCAAACAAUCUUAACCAAUUUAAUUCUAAGAUGCUAAAUUGCUCACAAAAAUCAAGUAUUCUCAAACACAAUCUAUUAAAGACUGCAGAAGAAAAGUAAACCUUAAAUCCAAACACACAAAACACCUUAAAGACCUCACACUUGAGCAUCAAAACACAGUAACGAACCACAGCCGUCAAAAGCAGCUCCUGAAAUUCAAUUUUUUCUCCAAAACUAAAACCGACCCACUAAUUCUUCUCAGCUUCAAAGAAAUGGGUCAAUCUAAAACAUCUGAAAAACAAAAAGAAAAAAAAAGCCCAAUCAAAUAAAACAAAAUCAUUACCUUAUCACUUUCUCUCUCUUCCACAUCUCCCUUGGUAUUGCUCUCUUCAAGAGAAGAGUCCUGAUCUUGAUCUUGACUAUCAACAUCAACAACAACGAUGCCACCAACACCACAACAAGUAACAGUAGUAGUAAUAGUACCUCCCUGAUAGAUAUCCGGCAAAGGAAUCGUCUUCCCAAAUAGCUUGAUUGCCGGGUCUUUUGGCUCCGACAUUUCUGCUGCUCUGAUUAUUCUUUCUAUAUCCUUUUCCUUCGCUGAUAAAAAAAGAAAAAACUGACUGAACUGGAAAAGAAAACUGAAAAAAAAAAAAGAAAUUAUUUUAUCUUUGGGAAAUAAAACUGUAAACUUUGUAGAUAGAGAAAGUGAGGAAAGAGGUCUAGCAAGGCGUGUGUGUUUUCGUGGCUAUAUUCUACGUUUUUGAUCCGGUUAGGAAGGUGGGUAUUGCCACGUCAUCUUCGGGAGCAAUUCUCAGCCACAAAUUAUCCUUGUGGCCUUGAAAGAAAGAUCUUCCUUUCCCUCUCUCUUUCUCUCUUUUUGAUUCUCCAAUAUUUCCUUUCAGUCCUAGUCAGCAUUUCCUGCGUUUCCUUUUCUUUCAACGCUUUCCUUUCCUCGCCGAAACUCGCCACAACCCUGUGUAAACGAACCAAUUCGAACCGAGUUUAAAGAGUUGGGGUUUAGUUGAUAAAAAU
RNAcentral lists this unclassified non-coding RNA (3798 nucleotides) under Hevea brasiliensis (rubber tree). Lineage: Eukaryota; Viridiplantae; Streptophyta; Magnoliopsida; Malpighiales; Euphorbiaceae. The record is from RNAcentral.